GCAAACUAUUUCAGCCACAUCUUCUAAUCAUGCAGAGAUUUUAGCAAUUCAUGAAGCUAGCUGUGAGUGUGUAUGGCUAAGAUCCAUAGUUCACCAUAUACAAGAAGACUGUGGUAUGUAUGCAGGGAAAAAGACUCCAACAAUUAUGUACGAAGACAAUGCAGCAUGCAUCGCACAACUCAAAGACGGAUACAUCAAAGGCGAUAGAACAAAGCACAUCCUACCAAAAUUCUUCUUCACACACGAUCUACAAAAGAGCGGCGAUGUACGAGUUCUACAGAUCCGUUCGAAUGAUAAUCUGGCUGACUUAUUCACCAAGGCGCUACCUACUGCUAUUUUCAAGAAGUUAGUCUAUCGUAUCGGAUUACGCUGUCUCAAAUAUCUCGAUGAAUAUACUCAUAAGGGGGAGUAAUUGUAUGUUGCACUCUUUUUUUCUUAACCAUGGUUUUUCUCAUUGAGUUUUCCUGGUAAGGUUUUUAAUGAGGCAGCAUUUCAAAUACUUUACCAUUAUGGUACUAUAAUGGUCAUCAAGGGGGAGUGUUAUGAAUAAAGAUGGAUGCCCAUUAUAAGGCCCAUCAUCUAAGCCCAUCAUCUAGAUGUUUCUAGGGUUUUACCCUUUCCUUGUACUCCUAUAUAAAGAACCUUUUUCUCAAUGGAAUACUACACUCAUUUUCUUCUAUAUCUUUCUCUAGUUACAACAGGUUGUAGGUUUUAUUAAUUUAAUAUUAUUACUUUGUAGAAAUAAGAUUAUGGUUGUAUGUAUUUAUAA
This 769-nucleotide small RNA is filed under the name Arabidopsis thaliana (thale cress). Its description in RNAcentral is "ATSL273910". The record is from RNAcentral. Lineage: Eukaryota; Viridiplantae; Streptophyta; Magnoliopsida; Brassicales; Brassicaceae.